GAGUGGACAUCUCUGUCUUGUUCCUGAGCUUAGGGAGUUUUCAAAUGAGAUGGGCGUUUCUGUGGUUUGAGGGAAAGAAAUUAAUGGGGAAAGAAACUGGGGAUAUGUAUAAGACAAAGGAUAAUUGACAGAGAUGGAUCCAGGGGAGACAGGAAAAAAGGAGGCCACUUCUUCUGGCGAUGGGAGGGAACAAAAACAACUCUGACUGAUGUGGAAAGAAGACAGAACCCUCCUCCCACUUUCAAGGUGUUACAACUGAACUCAAGGUGCAGCUGGAGUAACACCCUCCUGCACAAGUGUCCAGUCAGCACCCCUUUCCCACCUCGAGGGCCCCGCCUGAGCCCAGAGACGCCGCGAACAACAAAGAUGGCUUGGGCAGAGUUGGAGUUUAUUUGCUGCAGUUCCUUGGCGCUAGUUUACAAGGCAAAAACAAACAAACAAAAACAAUUAGAAUAAUUAUUUCUUAAAAACCCUGUCAACAACUUUCAGUCAUUUCUUUAUAUUUUUGUGUUUUGACAAAACUUCUUUUAAACAAAUACAAAAUAAUCUAAAAGGAGAAAAACUAUACAUAGAUUAUUUACACCUCUGAUAAAUAGACUAAUACUGACCCAGGUGCCUCUCUGUCUAGGAAACACUUGAGAACCAGGCCAGGGCCCGGGCCAGCUGGACAGGCUCCAGCGCCAGCCCAAACACGCCCAGACCUCGGCAGGCACCACCUGGUUCUCCCACCCAGAAAGUUCAGGUUUCCAGCCUGGACCCUCUUCUGUCACCCUCACAAGCUCUGGCACAAAAGUGCCUAAAGCCAUUCCCUCCAGGUAGGAUCUACACAAAGUGGCGGGGAGGGAGGUGACAGACUGUCCCCCUCUAUUCCUCCCACCAUUCCUCUGCAAAAGCUAUUUCCAGAGAUGCUCGCCAACCCUAAAGGAUCAGAGGAGCCGUGGCGACGCGGCCCUGUGAAAACCCGCAGCUCCUCC
This 974-nucleotide long non-coding RNA is filed under the name Pan troglodytes (chimpanzee). Its description in RNAcentral is "long non-coding RNA NONPTRT006940". Lineage: Eukaryota; Metazoa; Chordata; Mammalia; Primates; Hominidae. The record is from RNAcentral.